AAAAAAAUUUAAAAAUCAACUUUUUAAAAAUAUAUAUUUUUAAAAAAAUAAAUAAUAAGGAACCGAAAGAGUAGUUUUUAUAUCUUUCGAUUUCGCACUAGUUUCUACAGAAUUUCAUUACAUUCUUGGAGAUGUUCUUAUUCAUCUACCAGUAUAACUUUCUUCAAUUAGGCGUUUUU
This 179-nucleotide small RNA is filed under the name Arabidopsis thaliana (thale cress). RNAcentral describes it as "ATSL084980". Lineage: Eukaryota; Viridiplantae; Streptophyta; Magnoliopsida; Brassicales; Brassicaceae. The record is from RNAcentral.